RNAcentral lists this long non-coding RNA (1825 nucleotides) under Pogona vitticeps (central bearded dragon). Its description in RNAcentral is "lncRNA (ENSPVIG00000005324.1)". Lineage: Eukaryota; Metazoa; Chordata; Lepidosauria; Squamata; Agamidae. The record is from RNAcentral.
AACCCCUCCUCAAAUAUCUCACGUGCCUUGAAAGCGCUCUUACCUCCGUUGGGGCUUGGAGGACACAUAACAAUAACCAUCGGGACCCUAUAAACACAAAGAUGGAGCGCCUGGAGUGGGGUCAGAGGUUGUGUCCUUGCAUUUUUCUCCCCCUGUCUUCUUUCACCCCCUGCUUCGUAUUUUGGUCGGGGUUCGAAUCUUUGGAAGAUCCAGAGCGGAGGGUCCCGUCUUCCAUCAAAAUGCCACCCCGAAGAAGAAAAAGUCAUUUUAGGGUGGGAGGAAAGGAGGUGGGCUUUGAGUCUCUGGAAGGCCUGCUAGGUGACGCUUUUUUCCUUUGCUUCUCUAGAAGCCAUGGCUGUGCCGUAUCUCAGCGCCGUACUCCUGUUGGCCCCGCUGAGCUGGGGCCAGGACUUCCCCUUCAGGGACCCCACCUUGCCCUGGGAAGAACGGCUGGACGACCUGGUGAACAGGCUGACGCUGGACGAGAUGGUGCUGCAGAUGGCGAGAGGGGGCGCCAAAGCCAACGGCCCGGCGCCGCCCAUUAAGCGCCUGGGCAUCGGGCCCUACAACUGGAACACGGAGUGCCUGCGUGGGGACGCGGAGGCGCCGGGCUGGGCCACCGCUUUCCCCCAAGCCCUGGGCUUGGCGGCCUCUUUCAGCCCUCCGCUCAUCUACAGGGUGGCCAACGCCACGGCCACGGAGGUCCGGGCCAAACACAACCACUUUGUCUCCAUCGGCAACUACGAGGACCACACCGGCCUCAGCUGCUUCAGCCCCGUGUUGAACAUCAUGCGCCACCCGCUGUGGGGCAGGAACCAGGAGACUUAUGGGGAGGACCCAUUCCUGACCGCAGAGCUGGGGGUGGCUUUCGUGAAGGGCCUGCAGGGCGACCACCCUCGUUACGUCAAGGCCAGCGCUGGCUGCAAGCAUUUCGAUGUCCACGGUGGCCCCGAAAAUAUCCCCACCUCCCGGUUGUCCUUUGAUGCCAAGGUGAGCGAGCGUGACUGGCGCAUGACCUUCCUGCCUCAGUUUGAGGCCUGCGUUCUGGCUGGGACCUUCAGCUUCAUGUGCAGCUACAACAGGAUUAACGGAGUCCCCGCGUGUGCUAACAAGAGGCUGCUCACGGACAUUCUGCGCGGCGAAUGGGGUUUCCAGGGUUACGUGGUGAGCGACGAGGGAGCCGUAGAGCUGAUCAUGGUGGGCCACCAGUUCACCCACAGUUUCCUGGAGACAGCGAUCGUUUCCGUGAACGCCGGAUGCGAUCUGGAACUUUCGUAUGGGAUGAAGCAGAAUGUUUUCACGCACAUAGGCGAAGCUGUGGCCAAAGGCAACAUCUCUUUGGAGACAGUCAAAGCCCGUGUCCGGCCGCUUUUCCGCACCCGCAUGCGACUGGGGGAGUUUGACCCCCCAGCCAUGAACCCCUACAAUGCCCUGGGACCUGAGGAUGUGCAGAACGAUGCCCACCACCAGCUGGCGCUCCAGGCGGCCAUUCAGUCCUUUGUCCUGCUUAAAAACCAGAAUGGGACUCUACCUCUUCGGGCCGAAGACGUACGAAAGAAGACUCUUGCGGUGGUCGGCCCUUUUGCUAACAAUUCCGUGCUUCUCUUUGGGGAUUACGCUCCGAUCCCAGAACCCCAGUACAUCUUCACACCCAGGUAAGAACUGGAGGGAAUUCAUUCCACCUCCUGUUCCUCACUCCAGCUCACCGAUCUUUCCUUAGAAUUCAAAACUAUCUUCAGUGAAGGUCAACCCCCACUGUAGUAAUCAUCAUUAUGCCUGAGAGACCAAAAGAAACUACGUUCAUAGCCAAUUAUGUCUUGAGCUU